Molecule: ribosomal RNA, 293 nt
Filed under: uncultured bacterium
Lineage: Bacteria
Description: partial 16S ribosomal RNA
Rfam family: Bacterial small subunit ribosomal RNA
Source: RNAcentral
UUUCCAGCAGCCGCGGUAACACGUAGGGGGCGAGCGUUGUCCGGAUUCAUUGGGCGUAAAGAGCUCGUAGGCGGCUCAGUAAGUCGGGUGUGAAACCCUCAGGCUCAACCUGGGGACGCCACUCGAUACUGCUGUGGCUAGAGUCCAGUAGGGGAGUGUGGAAUUCCCGGUGUAGCGGUGAAAUGCGCAGAUAUCGGGAGGAACACCAGCGGCGAAGGCGGCACUCUGGGCUGGUACUGACGCUGAGGAGCGAAAGCGUGGGUAGCAAACAGGAUUAGAAACCCUCGUAGUCC